GAUGAACGCUGGCGGCGUGCCUAAUACAUGCAAGUCGAGCGAACGGACGAGAAGCUUGCUUUUCUGAUGUUAGCGGCGGACGGGUGAGUAACACGUGGAUAACCUACCCAUAAGACUGGGAUAACUUCGGGAAACCGGAGCUAAUACCGGAUAAUAUUUUGAACCGCAUGAUUCAAAAGUGAAAGACGGUCUUGCUGUCACUUAUAGAUGGAUCCGCGCUGCAUUAGCUAGUUGGUAAGGUAACGGCUUACCAAGGCAACGAUGCAUAGCCGACCUGAGAGGGUGAUCGGCCACACUGGAACUGAGACACGGUCCAGACUCCUACGGGAGGCAGCAGUAGGGAAUCUUCCGCAAUGGGCGAAAGCCUGACGGAGCAACGCCGCGUGAGUGAUGAAGGUCUUCGGAUCGUAAAACUCUGUUAUUAGGGAAGAACAUAUGUGUAAGUAACUGUGCACAUCUUGACGGUACCUAAUCAGAAAGCCACGGCUAACUACGUG
Molecule: ribosomal RNA, 497 nt
Filed under: uncultured bacterium
Lineage: Bacteria
Description: partial 16S ribosomal RNA
Rfam family: Bacterial small subunit ribosomal RNA
Source: RNAcentral